GGCGUGGAAAGGGCUAUAUCGCCGUGUGUUUCUUCCCUCGGUCACGGGGGAGGGAAUUCACCGCCCUGGAGAGUUUGGUGCCUGAGGCGGCUGCUUCCUUUCGCUUCUCGGGCGGGCCCUCUGGCUACAACCCGGUUGACAGUUCGUUAGGUGGAACAUGCAGGAAGGAAAGCGAAGACUGUUGACCCCAGCGCCACUUCAAACUUUGCGGGAUAGGACGUGUGUGUGUGCGUGUUGCGGGGCGGGGGUGGUGGUGGAAGGAAGUUUUCGUCAGCAAUUGUGAGCCUUCGCUAAUACAUUAAAUUGCGAGGAAAACGCGCCAAAACCUCUCGACAGUGUCUUGCGGGUGCGGAGGCCUCGACACGUCCUCUGCCUCGCUCCGUCUUAUUCCCUACCUUUGCGCAAUACCUAAGCCUUUUUUUCCCCGUCUUGCCUGAGGGAGAGACACUACCUGCGUUUUCGAAGACCGCGGAAACUUCGUAAGGCAGGAAGGAGGGACGGGUCACUUUUCGGCGGCCCUCCGCCCUCUUCUUCUUUCCUUCCCUUUCCUCGUCCUACCGCCAAGCAGCUGCGGGCCUCCAGGGGAUCAGCCUUUCCUGCGCUGGCCGGGCAGGCGGCGGCGGCGGCUGCGCGCCCGCUGCUUCUGCUCCCAGGUACCUGUUCCACUUCUGUCCACUUUCCCCGCUCUCCACCUGACUGGGGGGUGUCUUCUCCUGUCAAGGCUUGGGAAAAGCCGGUGCCACCGACGCCCCCGGGAAUGUUGCCUUCGCUCCAGUGGCUUAGAGGUGGCUCCUCCAUUUCCAUAUCAUCACUGGUGUUGCAACCUCACAGUCCUCUGCUGUUCUAUAGUGAAGGAGAAAAUGUAGAAGAAAGGAAGUGAAGGGGAGUGGUGAGUACUGGUGGGUAUUCAUAAAUAUAGUGAGGGAUGUAUGAAAUUAUGCAUGGUCUGAAGAAAAUGUUUUCUUUAAUUUUACGACAUCCUGAUGUCAUCCAGUGAACCUGAGCUAUGGUAGAUUCAGGAAAUACAAAAGGAAGACCUUUCUCACAAAGUACAUGAUAGAGUAUUGUGGAAUUCAUGGCCAGAAUACAUGCUGAUAGACACUACAUUGAUUUAAAGUGGGAUUAGACAAAAGCCUUGUUCAGGUGUAUCGCAAUAACCUAUGUAGGGCUGAAGAGAUGAAAGGAACAAGGGCUUGCACAUGGACCGCACCACCAUGUCCCCGCCCCACUCAGAAGCCUCACAGACCUUCACAUGUUUAGCAUGAACAUCUGCAACAGAACCUCUAAGUUGAUGGAUUCUGAUCAUUAUAGUAAGCAGGGCGCUUCCCCAUCUGAGGCUAUCCCAAGCCAGUUCACUUCUCAAAUGCAGAUGUAUGUCUACAGGUGUCUCCCAGUCCCACACUGACUCAGUGGAGAUCAAAGAAGCAUUCAGUUGACAGUUGCUCUGGAUGCCAAAGGCUUUUCCAUUGACAUCUUCCGUUCCCACUGUUGGCAAUCACUAUCACUUCCUGCCUUGAGAUCAACAAUUACACAAGUUAGUUGGACAUUAAUCUUAUUAUCUCAUAAUGUUUUGUUCUUGUUUUGCUUUCCUAUUUGGAAUAUUCUCCAGGCAGGGCUUGGACGUUUCUUGCAUCUUUUGCUUGCAAGGGACAUUAAUAAUAAAGGUUUGUUUAUUUUUCUGUUGCUAUAGCCU
RNAcentral lists this long non-coding RNA (1693 nucleotides) under Pogona vitticeps (central bearded dragon). RNAcentral's name for it is "lncRNA (ENSPVIG00000021474.1)". The record is from RNAcentral. Lineage: Eukaryota; Metazoa; Chordata; Lepidosauria; Squamata; Agamidae.